UCGUCAUCAGCCAUCAACCGUAGCUCAGCAAGUGAUGGAAAAGAUAAGAACAAUGGAAUUUAAAAGAAAAGGACAGUCACUGUUGUUCAUUUUCCUCAAGCUUUUAACAUCUCACCCCAAAAGUCAAAUCACAGCCACAUGCAUCCCUUUCACCCAACAACACAUACAAAUUAAAAAAAAAAUUAAAAUCAUAUGGACAAAGAAAUUUCAACUUUAUUAUUGUACUAGCUAGCCACUAAUGCUCCCAUCCACUUCAUUUUAUAAAAUUUGCAAAACAUUUAUUACCUCAUAUAUGAUGAAACCAUGAAUGUGAUGGUGAAAUUAUCCAGUGGCUGGCUGCUUCAUCGUAGCUGCCGCAGGAAAAUGGCAACUUCCCAGCCAAGUUCUCUAGCAGUGACUCUACCAUUUCAGCUCCUUCAUCAAUAUCUGCACCUUUCUCUUUACCACUGUUUGUUCAACUGCAAUAAUGGUUAUGGAGAUGAUGGGAGAAGAUUCAUCAACAACAGUACUGCUGCUGGUGCUGCCAUGUUAGGGUUGCACCAUCAGCUGUAUCCUCAAAUUUCCAAAACGAUUAGUUACCAAACGAGAAUCACACCUGGUAUACUCCUAUCCAACUGAGAGCCCGAGAUACGUGGUAUCAUUAGUAGCUACUUGAAAAGAUAGACCACCCGUUACCUCACCAUGUUUUUAGUGGGAAUCCUCUUAUUUUUACGAGGGGUCAUCGAGAACUAUUAAAGUAUAACAACCUUUUAUUACCAUAGUAUUAUUACCAUAGUAAAGAGAAUAUCAAAACAGUAUUACGUUUGGCGACAAUCCACAAAUGACCAACUUAUCACCUAACCAACCACACAUUGACCAUUUCCGAGAAUUAUCAUUAAUGUGGCGCUACUAGAUAGAAGACUUUUCUAUAAAUAUCCCAAAGAAAGAUGAACAAGGGAUAAAAUCCCUCGCUCCUUCAGCAACCUUAAC
RNAcentral lists this long non-coding RNA (969 nucleotides) under Gossypium barbadense (sea-island cotton). RNAcentral's name for it is "long non-coding RNA (GBAR_LNC001194)". The record is from RNAcentral. Lineage: Eukaryota; Viridiplantae; Streptophyta; Magnoliopsida; Malvales; Malvaceae.